CCUACGGGCGGCAGCAGUGGGGAAUAUUGCACAAUGGGGGAAACCCUGAUGCAGCGACGCCGCGUGAGUGAAGAAGUAUUUCGGUAUGUAAAGCUCUAUCAGCAGGGAAGAAAUAGCGACCUUUGGGUCGCCAGACGGUACCUGAUUAAGAAGCCCCGGCUAUCUACGUGCCAGCAGCCGCGGUAAUACGUAGGGGGCACGCGUUAUCCGGAUUUACUGGGUGUAAAGGGAGCGUAGACGGCAGCGCAAGUAUGAAGGGAAAUGCCGGGGCUUAACCCCGGAACUGCUGUGGAAACUGUGCAGCUAGAGUGCAGGAGAGAUAAGUGGAAUUCCUAGUGUAGCGGUGAAAUGCGUAGAUAUUAGGAGGAACACCAGUGGCGAAGGCGGCUUACUGGACUGUAACUGACGUUGAGGCUCGAAAGCGUGGGGAGCAAACAGGAUUAGAUACCCUAGUAGUC
This 458-nucleotide ribosomal RNA is filed under the name uncultured bacterium. Its description in RNAcentral is "partial 16S ribosomal RNA". It matches the Rfam family "Bacterial small subunit ribosomal RNA", at positions 338 to 795 of the family's 1533-position model. The record is from RNAcentral.